UGCACAGUACUGCAACGGUUCAGCACGCGCUCCCGGAAAGAGUGAGAUCUGGGUUGGAAUCCCGGCUGAUGCAA
This is a non-coding RNA of Parelaphostrongylus tenuis, 74 nucleotides long. The record is from the annotation of a GenBank genome assembly. NCBI's taxonomy places the organism in Eukaryota, Metazoa, Nematoda, Chromadorea, Rhabditida, Metastrongylidae.